UACACAAUGGCAAAGGAGUGUGGGCA
This 26-nucleotide non-coding RNA is filed under the name Homo sapiens (human). The record is from RNAcentral. Lineage: Eukaryota; Metazoa; Chordata; Mammalia; Primates; Hominidae.